GCGUCACUUCCGAGGUCACAAAGGAAGUCUGACGGUUAGAGAACAGGGAGGUGUCGGUCUGCAUACCUGAAAAAGAGUCAUAAUUAGCCACAGGCCACCAGGACCAUGCCCAGUACUGCCCAGAGACUCCAGAGGGCCAUAACAGCUGCCUUUUUCAGUCUUAGGCGUUGGUUCUAGGCCAAACGUAGGCAGACACACAGGUUAGGGUACGAGGUGUGCUGAUUGCUCUUUAUUUCGUCAGUCUCAUGUCAGACUAAAAGGGAAGCUGGCACUGGGCCUAUGGAAUAGUCCACAAUGACCCUUUUCAACUUCCAAGUUAGGAUUCUCCUGACCUGGUCUCUUACCAGUUAAUAUAAAACAGAUUAAUCCCUAAUUUUCUGGAGAGUAAAUCACAUCUGGAGAUACAUUCCACUACUCAUGGAAAUCCAAUUGGACAGUCCGUGAAAGGAAGAGAAAUUUUAGUGAUGAAGAGGACUCUUAGACCAUUGGCCUAUUCACAGGAAUAUGGAGGAAUUUACUGCAGAAUAUCUCAUUUAACCCUCACACCAUGCUAAGAAACAAGUUUAACAUAUGAGGAACUGGAGGACUGGAAGUCAAGAUUUCUAGUGAGCAGGAAAUACUGGGGGAUCAGUAUCAGUCUGCAUGUUCCAUUUGCCUUAGUCUUCUUUUAGAAGGAACCAGGAAGUAAAAAUAAAUUAAGAGGCCUUUCAGCUUUGAAAGCAGAAGCCCAAGUCUCAAGAGUAAAACAGUAAGAGCCAACUACGCCCAAAUUUUAAGCCAGGUGGUGAUCACCUGUGCAGGUUGUGUGGCCAGAUUGUGAUUCCAGCAUUAGCCCAUCACCCUGCUCCGUAUUCUGACGUAGAAGAUGAGGAAUCAUGGGAAGGCGGAAGAGCCUGCUGGAAGGGUUUCUUUGUGGAAAGGACCUGGAGCUGAGUGAAAACUUACAAGCUGACACUCAGACAAGGUGCCACUUGCAUUUAAAGAGUGUCAGGUGAGAAAUGCAUCAGUGAUAGGGAAUCUUCAAAGGACCCGCUUGAACACCAGACUGCUCUCACCAUGCCCUAGGGAAAUUAAUAAAGACUACAGCUACACCUUUCAGUAGAGCUAAGUGUUUUAUGCCCAUUUUCUCUAAUCACCAGUCUUCUAGUAACCUUUCCCUGGAGGGGCUCUAAUAUAUUCAAAUGGAGGAAAGGAGGUAGAACAGCACUGAAAAACAAUCCUAAAACUAAAGAAAGUGUUGCAGCUUAUGUGUAGAUGUCCUAAAGUCUCCUGUGCUCAGAGGUGAGGCCUUUCAGAGCUGGCUGAAU
This 1307-nucleotide long non-coding RNA is filed under the name Chinchilla lanigera (long-tailed chinchilla). Its description in RNAcentral is "lncRNA (ENSCLAG00000026704.1)". Lineage: Eukaryota; Metazoa; Chordata; Mammalia; Rodentia; Chinchillidae. The record is from RNAcentral.